Long non-coding RNA from Lolium perenne, 720 nucleotides. RefSeq lists it as uncharacterized. NCBI's taxonomy places the organism in Eukaryota, Viridiplantae, Streptophyta, Magnoliopsida, Poales, Poaceae. The record is from RefSeq and is a predicted model, not a curated record.
GAAGGAAAAGGAUCAAUGGAAGGCUCUAACUUUAUAGAAGCUGUAUACUUAACAGAACCCAAGCAACCUUUCCUCUUGUGUGCAUUUGUAAAAUGAAAAGAAAAUAGCUACAGCUUGUGGUAGUUAGUCAAUUGAAUCCUCUAACCUCUAGGUAACAUGUGGUGGAGGGGAAAAUCUUGCGCUCUUUUGUCUCACUGUAGGGAUUGGUCGGGGUCAUUGACAAGGGCAUUGUUCAUCUGGUCAAGGAAUGAGUCAAUGGAGUGGUGUCGGCAUCCAGGUCGCAUCCAGGUCACAGUGGAGUGCAUGCCGCUCGAGACGGAUGAUGUGGCACUACCAUCCUGAGCACAGUGCAGUGUGCGUUGCUGAGAUGGACCGAUGCAGUGGAGUGUGGUCGUCGUCACUCCACCUCUCAUGAUCCUCUCCCUACUGGUUGGUAUGGCUGCACUUAAUGGUAAAAACCUUUCAUCAAAAGGAAAUGGCAAGAAAAUGGUUUCUUUUGAUUGGUUGAUUUAUUCAUCCAUACAUCAUUUAGUUUUUCAUGAGAUUGGAGUCUUAAAACUCAAUAUUGCAGAUCUUGGAAUUCUCUUAGCUGCAAAUUAACAUCCAUGUAUUUUGACCUGAUGAUGGUUCUUACUGAACAUCUUUUCUGCAUUUUUCAGGUCCUGGACAGAUAAGGAUGAGAUAAUGCGAGGUGUGUAUUUUAGUUUACAAGGAGAAAGA